Small nuclear RNA from Ochotona princeps (American pika), 107 nucleotides. Lineage: Eukaryota; Metazoa; Chordata; Mammalia; Lagomorpha; Ochotonidae. The record is from Ensembl.
GUACUCGCUUCAAUAGCACAUUUACUAAAACUGGAAUACUGCAUGGAAGAUUAGCAUGGCCCAUGAGCAAGGAUGACAGGUAAUUUUGUGAAGCUGUUGUAUUUAAA